GAUGAAGAACGCAGCGAAAUGCGAUAAGUAAUGUGAAUUGCAGAAUUCCGUGAAUCAUCGAAUCUUUGAACGCACAUUGCGCCCCCUGGUAUUCCGGGGGGCAUGCCUGUCCGAGCGUCAUUGCAACCUUCAAGCGCGGCUUGUGUGUUGGGUCUCGUCCCCCGUGGACGGGCCCGAAAGGCAGUGGCGGCGUCCCGACAUGGUGCCCGAGCGUAUGGGAAUCCUCUUCCGCUCGAAUCGGCCCAUGCGGCGCUGGUCGUAACCAAAUUUUUUACCGGUUGACCUCGGAUCAGGUAGGGAUACCCGCUGAACUUAAGCAUAUCAAUAAGCGGAA
RNAcentral lists this unclassified non-coding RNA (334 nucleotides) under soil metagenome. RNAcentral's name for it is "partial contains 5.8S ribosomal RNA, internal transcribed spacer 2, and large subunit ribosomal RNA". The stretch from base 1 to 120 matches the Rfam family "5.8S ribosomal RNA", at positions 35 to 154 of the family's 154-position model. The record is from RNAcentral.